AACUGAAUUAAGAAGGAAAUACACCAGAAUGUUGAUGGCCGUUUUCUUCAGGUGACACUUAAAAAUUGAGUUGAUUAAAAAUGCACAGACCUAUGGCUGAAGCAAGGAUCUAUCAUUGAUAUAGCAGGGAAUGACGGCACCCAGGAAAGUGCUGAUUUUAAAAACUGAAUGUGAGAAAAAGAUUCAGCUUCUCUUGAUGAUGAAAGGCAUGUGAAACGUGGAACACAC
RNAcentral lists this long non-coding RNA (228 nucleotides) under Zalophus californianus (California sea lion). RNAcentral's name for it is "lncRNA (ENSZCAG00015011312.1)". The record is from RNAcentral. Lineage: Eukaryota; Metazoa; Chordata; Mammalia; Carnivora; Otariidae.